CGGGGGUGCCCCGCCCUUGCUGGGCCCGUUCCUGGCGGACUGUGGCGUACGGCGCCCUGCGCAUUACCCGUGUGAUGGGCUGCUCCGCACCCGGCCCUAGUGCCUGAGCCACCUCUGCGCGCCCACCCCUCGGCUUUCUGGGCCAAGCCACCAGCGCUGCCUACUGGAAACGGGUUUGGUUCUUAAAGCCCCAAUUUCUGGAGGCAUGUGAUUGUACAAGCAUCUGAGCUCUUUAUUAUUUUUCCUAGUUUGAUUUUCCCCCAUGCGUUUGGGUAUGGGUAGCUGAGUGUGCUUUCCCAGUUCUUUGAAUUAUUUUUGGUAGUUAUCGCUUUUCCCCUAAAGAUCAUUGUCUUUGCCUAGUUGAUCUGCACAGCCUAUGUUUUGAAUAACCAGGGAAUAGAUAAGCACUGCCUCGACUCCCAUCUUCAGCUGAGGACAGUUGAGAAAAAACUGAGGGGGGUGCAGGAUGUGCACGAUCAGGCAGACCCUAACAACAACGUGAGACAGCAGCUGAGCAAGUGCAUCCGACCUGGCACUGCUACCGAAGAUCUCUGAUCAAUGGCACCAGGACGUACCAUCACCUGGAGUGGAGCACCCACAGGGACAGCACUAAGAAGAGCCGCAAAAUCCCGUUGAUGGGGUUUGAAAGACUGACUCCUACAGAGCCCUUGUCAG
This is a non-coding RNA of Chelonoidis abingdonii (Abingdon island giant tortoise), 675 nucleotides long. Lineage: Eukaryota; Metazoa; Chordata; Testudines; Testudinidae. The record is from RefSeq and is a predicted model, not a curated record.